AGAGUUUGAUCCUGGCUCAGAUUGAACGCUGGCGGCAUGCCUUACACAUGCAAGUCGAACGGUAACAGGUCUUCGGAUGCUGACGAGUGGCGAACGGGUGAGUAAUACAUCGGAACGUGCCCGAGAGUGGGGGAUAACGAGGCGAAAGCUUUGCUAAUACCGCAUACGAUCUCAGGAUGAAAGCAGGGGACCGCAAGGCCUUGCGCUCACGGAGCGGCCGAUGGCAGAUUAGGUAGUUGGUGGGAUAAAAGCUUACCAAGCCGACGAUCUGUAGCUGGUCUGAGAGGACGACCAGCCACACUGGGACUGAGACACGGCCCAGACUCCUACGGGAGGCAGCAGUGGGGAAUUUUGGACAAUGGGCGCAAGCCUGAUCCAGCCAUGCCGCGUGCAGGAUGAAGGCCUUCGGGUUGUAAACUGCUUUUGUACGGAACGAAAAGACUCCUUCUAAUAAAGGGGGUCCAUGACGGUACCGUAAGAAUAAGCACCGGCUAACUACGUGCCAGCAGCCGCGGUAAUACGUAGGGUGCGAGCGUUAAUCGGAAUUACUGGGCGUAAAGCGUGCGCAGGCGGUUAUGUAAGACAGAUGUGAAAUCCCCGGGCUCAACCUGGGAACUGCAUUUGUGACUGCAUAGCUAGAGUACGGCAGAGGGGGAUGGAAUUCCGCGUGUAGCAGUGAAAUGCGUAGAUAUGCGGAGGAACACCGAUGGCGAAGGCAAUCCCCUGGGCCUGCACUGACGCUCAUGCACGAAAGCGUGGGGAGCAAACAGGAUUAGAUACCCCGGUAGUCC
This 791-nucleotide ribosomal RNA is filed under the name uncultured bacterium. RNAcentral describes it as "bacterial SSU rRNA". It matches the Rfam family "Bacterial small subunit ribosomal RNA", at positions 8 to 796 of the family's 1533-position model. The record is from RNAcentral.